UUUAUGGAGAGUUUGAUCCUGGCUCAGGAUGAACGCUGGCGGCGUGCCUAAUACAUGCAAGUCGAGCGAACAGACGAGGAGCUUGCUCCUCUGACGUUAGCGGCGGACGGGUGAGUAACACGUGGAUAACCUACCUAUAAGACUGGGAUAACUUCGGGAAACCGGAGCUAAUACCGGAUAAUAUAUUGAACCGCAUGGUUCAAUAGUGAAAGACGGUUUUGCUGUCACUUAUAGAUGGAUCCGCGCCGCAUUAGCUAGUUGGUAAGGUAACGGCUUACCAAGGCAACGAUGCGUAGCCGACCUGAGAGGGUGAUCGGCCACACUGGAACUGAGACACGGUCCAGACUCCUACGGGAGGCAGCAGUAGGGAAUCUUCCGCAAUGGGCGAAAGCCUGACGGAGCAACGCCGCGUGAGUGAUGAAGGUCUUCGGAUCGUAAAACUCUGUUAUUAGGGAAGAACAAAUGUGUAAGUAACUAUGCACGUCUUGACGGUACCUAAUCAGAAAGCCACGGCUAACUACGUGCCAGCAGCCGCGGUAAUACGUAGGUGGCAAGCGUUAUCCGGAAUUAUUGGGCGUAAAGCGCGCGUAGGCGGUUUUUUAAGUCUGAUGUGAAAGCCCACGGCUCAACCGUGGAGGGUCAUUGGAAACUGGAAAACUUGAGUGCAGAAGAGGAAAGUGGAAUUCCAUGUGUAGCGGUGAAAUGCGCAGAGAUAUGGAGGAACACCAGUGGCGAAGGCGACUUUCUGGUCUGUAACUGACGCUGAUGUGCGAAAGCGUGGGGAUCAAACAGGAUUAGAUACCCUGGUAGUCCACGCCGUAAACGAUGAGUGCUAAGUGUUGGAGGGUUUCCGCCCUUCAGUGCUGCAGCAAACGCAUUAAGCA
RNAcentral lists this ribosomal RNA (884 nucleotides) under Bacillota bacterium. RNAcentral's name for it is "bacterial SSU rRNA". It matches the Rfam family "Bacterial small subunit ribosomal RNA", at positions 1 to 866 of the family's 1533-position model. The record is from RNAcentral. Lineage: Bacteria; Bacillati; Bacillota.